Molecule: transfer RNA, 75 nt
Filed under: Sphaerodactylus townsendi
Lineage: Eukaryota; Metazoa; Chordata; Lepidosauria; Squamata; Sphaerodactylidae
Description: tRNA-Thr
Source: RNAcentral
GGAGGGCCUAUGACUCAUUGGUGGAGCAUCUGCAUGGUAUACGGAAGGUCCCAGGUUCAAUCCCUGGCAUCUCCA